GACUGUAACACAAGACAAGAUAUAAAAUAUAAACCUCAGAGUUACAAAAGACUAUAGACAAACAGAACAUCAUAACUAUAUAAAUAAGGGAAAAAGUUAAUUUUGAAAAAUUAUUUAUAUCCCAGUAGUUACGCUUUGUUAAAAAAUUAAAUUAAUUCGAAAGUGUAAUUAACACGCAAACCAGCCAAUAAAUGUAAAUAACAAAGAAACAUAUUUUCCUACUAACCAAGUCAGUUGGAUCUGAAGAAUUGAAUAAUGAGAGUGAAAAGGGCUGUGACAAUAGUGGGGUUUCUUAUUAUCAUAAUAGUAGUUUUCAUAAUUUAUUCAGCCAAAGAUCUUGAUGGAUUUCCCAUGAAAGAAUCUUCUAUAAAUCAAGAUUUUCAAGAG
This 387-nucleotide long non-coding RNA is filed under the name Leptinotarsa decemlineata (Colorado potato beetle). RNAcentral's name for it is "uncharacterized LOC111514245, transcript variant X2". The record is from RNAcentral. Lineage: Eukaryota; Metazoa; Arthropoda; Insecta; Coleoptera; Chrysomelidae.